ACUUGUGCCUCGUCCCUUAUCAGCUCCCCAUGAGAUUCCAGGCUGCUAUUUUAAUACUCUGUUACUAUCUUAAAUCGGGUCGCACCCGUUCUUCUUGUCGCUGUUUUUGCAGCAGUGUUGCACUGGAGCCAUAUAACACACCUCUUUGAAAAUGACCGUCAUUUUUCUCACCUCUCAACAUUGGAAAGGGAGAUGGCUUUUCGCACUGAAAUGGGACUAUAUUAUUCCUAUUUCAAGACUAUUGUGGAAGCACCCUCAUUUUUGAAUGGAGUAUGGAUGAUUAUGAAUGAUAAACUGACUGAAUACCCCCUUGUCAUUAAUACAUUAAAAAGAUUCAAUCUUUACCCUGAGGUAAUUUUGGCCAGUUGGUACCGGAUUUAUACCAAAAUAAUGGACUUGAUUGGUAUUCAAACCAAGAUAUGUUGGACGGUUACCAGAGGAGAAGGACUCAGUCCUAUUGAAAGCUGUGAAGGAUUGGGAGAUCCUGCUUGCUUUUAUGUUGCUGUAAUUUUUAUUUUAAAUGGACUAAUGAUGGCAUUAUUCUUCAUAUAUGGCACAUAUUUAAG
RNAcentral lists this long non-coding RNA (566 nucleotides) under Homo sapiens (human). RNAcentral describes it as "non-protein coding lnc-DPY19L1-1:1". The record is from RNAcentral. Lineage: Eukaryota; Metazoa; Chordata; Mammalia; Primates; Hominidae.